Molecule: long non-coding RNA, 2843 nt
Organism: Peromyscus californicus insignis
Lineage: Eukaryota; Metazoa; Chordata; Mammalia; Rodentia; Cricetidae
Exons: 3
Source: RefSeq, a predicted model, not a curated record
CACUCAUGUGCACCCUCCCCCAUAAUUAAAAAGAAAACAAGUAUUUUAGAAACUAGAAUCAUAAUCAGAUACUAGAUUUAUUUUCUCUGCCUGCUAGCCCCGCCUAUCCUUUCUUCUGCCUAGCUAUUGGCUAUUCAGCUCUUUAUUAGACCAAUCAGGUGCCUUAGGCAGGCAAAGUGAAACAAAUGCAACACAUCUUUACAUAAUGAAACAAAUGCAGCACAAACAAAUGUAACACAUCCUUACAUGGCUAAACAAAUGUGGCAUAAACAAGUGUAACACACUUUUACACAGUUAAAGUAAUAUUUUGCAGCGUAAACAAAUGUAACACAUCUUUGCCUAGUUAAAAUAAUAUUCCACAACAAUGGUAAUAAGUAGGAAGUUUUCUGAAUUAUGCAGAAACUGAUAUAUCCCAGCAGUAUGUAAAUUAGGUUUAGAAGACAAUAUCUUGGGGACGGAACAGCUUUAUUUUUUAUUUAUAAAGCCUUGUAUUUGAACACUUUUAGCCAUCAUUACAAGGUUUACAAACCUUGUUACUGUUACACUGGUCAUGUAACAGAAAAAAAUCCUGAAAGAGAAUAUGCUCACUUAUUAACAGUAGCUGUAUUUGCAUGGCAUAAAUAUGAGCAAGAAUUAUUUACAUUUCUCUGUGUUUAACAAAAUGAGCAAGUAUAAAUCUAUAAAGAGAGACUGUUUUAGAAGACAAGGUUUGGGUGAGACUGUCCCCCAUAUGAUCUGAUACUUGAAUACUUGGUCCCAAGUUGGUAGUUCUGUUUGGAGAGGUUGUGAAAUGUCGGGAGGUAGAGCCUUGCUGGAGGAAACAUAUCACUGGGGAUGGGAUUUGAAUGUUUAUGGUCUCCUUCUACUUCCUGUUAAUUCUCUGUCUCGUGCUUGUCUUUGACAAUCAAGUUUCUCAGCUUCUUGCUCAGCCACUACGACUGCUUGCUGCCGUGGCUCCCCACCAUGAUGGACUCUUACCCUCUGAAGGCUGAAGCCCAAAUAAACUCUUCCUUCUAUAAGUUACCUAGGUCAUGGUAUUUUAUAACAACAGAAAAGUAACAAAUACAAAGGUAUUUAUAAAACAUUGAAGGCAGUAUUGCUUUCAAAGUAAGGAAAAAGCUAUUGUUUGAAAAAAAUAGUUUCAUGAAUGACUAGUAAUAUUAUCUUUUUUUUUUUUUUUUUUUUUUUUUGGUUUUUCGAGACAGGGUUUCUCUGUGUAGCUUUGCGCCUGUCCUGGAACUCACUUGGUAGCCCAGGCUGGCCUCGAACUCACAGAGAUCCGCCUGGCUCUGCCUCCCGAGUGCUGGGAUUAAAGGCGUGCGCCACCACCGCCCGGUGGCUAGUAAUAUUAUUUUAUUGCAUAAGGUUAUUGCUAAGCUCCCACCUUUUUUUUUUUUUAAUCCAUAGUUUUACUGUGUGGUCUUGACUGGCCCCAUACUCAAUCCUCUUGUCUCCCAAGUGCUGUGACUACCAUUGUGUGCAAUUUUUAUAAAAAUGUAAUGCAAAAGAAUAAAUGUCACAUACAUGUCUGACUGACCUUUCUUUUCUGAAUUAAUCUUAAAUGUGUAAGUUCAAAUUGUCCCUCAACAUAUUUGCUGCAAAUGAGAGACUAAAAUACCAGGCUUAAGAUUAUCCAGUUUGGGGGCUAUGUGACUGAGAUGUCCUUGACUUGAGGGAUCCAGGGACAUCAGACUGGGAUGAUAGUGAUGAUGCUGGUUUGGCAGCAGAUGCCAUGAAGACUUGUGUAUGCUCAACUUUCUGGCGUUACCUACAUCUGUCAUUGUAAUUAUACUGCAUCCUGUGUUUAGCAUAACCAAAUUAGCAAUUUGCUCUGAUGGAAGCCUCAGUCCAAAGAUUGAUGCCUGAUAUUCAAAUGAGUCACAUGCCCCCUAAAAUAGGGUAGACCAGAUAUACAUUCAAGUCUCAGAGCUCUGCAGCUGGGCCUGGUGCCAGCUUGCUCUGUAGCUGAUUUCAAGUGGGAGGAGAGGCAAUUUCUGUAGACUGUGUGCAUGUAAACAUCAGCCUACUGACGAAGGUUGCCGCCCAGGUCUUAGUGGCUAGGGACAAAAGGGAGAACAUUUGCUUCUUCCCAACUGGAAAUUUUAUGCAUGCUAUCCUUCUGUUGUUCUAGCCCAAAGCCUGAUAAUUAACCUGAGGGAAUGAUCAAAAUUCGCUUUUGUGCUCCCAGCAUGUGCCAGGUAGUUGGAGGCAGGAGGAAGGAUUCAGGGCAACUUCAAUCAAAGCUCAGUUUUAUGCCUUGCGUGGCUUUUUAGAUUUGUAUUUUCCCUAUAAUUGCUAAUCAGCAAAACAUUUGGAGAGACUCUUGCUAGGUUAAUUAUACAACCUGUUGGCUUUGUAUGCUGGUGACUAUUAAUUCACUCCUGCCCUUAAAAAGUGGUCUGAAGACAAAAGUCAGUUUGGAGUAGAUGCUACUGUUGUUGCUCCAAGAUGUCGCCACCAAUGACAAUGACGUUGAGAAUUUUGGAGAUACAUUAGCUGUGCUGAUCGGGCUGUAUCGUCUUGUGUUAACACAUAGGAAGACUUGCCUGUUUUCGAGGCUUUCUUCUUAAGAAAAAGGAGGACAAACAAGGACUCUUUGGCUGGGCACUGCAUCUCAACCUGAUCUGCUUUUCCUCUUUGGAAUGGCAUCAACUCAUUAGAUGAGCGAGGAUGCCAUGCCACUUGCACUCCACCCAGCUCACCUCUGUAUUCUUAAACUCCACCAGAGGACUUUUUGCACUUGAAAUUAUGUUAUGUCAAUGUGUUAGCUCACUGCUAAUUAAAUGAUUUUGCUUAUGACUCAAUAGAUGGGCAAGGUGCUAAUAAAAUCACUCUUUUCCGGC